This 74-nucleotide transfer RNA is filed under the name Aeromicrobium fastidiosum. Its description in RNAcentral is "tRNA-Leu". It matches the Rfam family "tRNA". From Rfam's summary of the family: Transfer RNA (tRNA) molecules are approximately 80 nucleotides in length. Their secondary structure includes four short double-helical elements and three loops (D, anti-codon, and T loops). RNAcentral also lists the same sequence under 2 other names. Lineage: Bacteria; Bacillati; Actinomycetota; Actinomycetes; Propionibacteriales; Nocardioidaceae. The record is from RNAcentral.
GCUCCCGUAGCCCAACUGGCAGAGGCAGAUGGCUUAAACCCGUCACAGCGUGGGUUCGAACCCCACCGGGAGCA